Molecule: ribosomal RNA, 400 nt
Filed under: uncultured Colpodellidae
Lineage: Eukaryota; Colpodellaceae
Description: partial small subunit ribosomal RNA
Rfam family: Eukaryotic small subunit ribosomal RNA
Source: RNAcentral
GCUUGUCUCAAAGAUUAAGCCAUGCAUGUCUAAGUAUAAGCUUUUAUACGGUGAAACUGCGAAUGGCUCAUUAAAACAGUUAUAGUUUAUUUGAUGGUCGCUCACUACAUGGAUAACCGUGGUAAUUCUAGAGCUAAUACAUGCGCAAAGACCUGACUUUUGGGAAGGGUUGUGUUUAUUAGAUAAAAAACCAAUCUAUCUUCGGAUAGUUUUGUGGUGAUUCAUAAUAACCGAACGAAUCGCAUGGCUCACGCCGGCGAUGUUUCAUUCAAAUUUCUGCCCUAUCAAUUUGAUGGUAGGAUAGAGGCCUACCAUGGUGGUAACGGGUGACGGAGAAUUAGGGUUCGAUUCCGGAGAGGGAGCCUGAGAAACGGCUACCACAUCCAAGGAAGGCAGCAGG